GAAGAGGAAGAACGUGCACAUGUUUACCCAAUUACAUGUGCUGAACUGCUAAGUGGGGAGAAUUUUAACUGCCUUGAAGGAAGGCAAAAUUGGGACACUCUAGACACCCGAUCAAGUGGACAAUUAGAGGUGUUGAGUGGAAAUUGACAAAGACCAAUCUUGACGAAUCUAAGAACUGGUAGUCUCGCCAGAUAUUGAGAAAUGAUGUAUUAAACCAGUAUAUUCCAGAUCACUUGUAAAGGAAAGCCGCAACAAAGCUAGCAAAUGGUUGUAUAUACGGAAAGACAGUACGAUGGAUAGAUAUGGCCUAAGAAGUUCUGUCUAGGAGAUUGGGUUUUAAGCGGGACCAGUGUGACCCCUCCAAUCUUUCCUGGGAACUUGCUUAGUGGAAGGAUUAUCCAUACGGUACUAUUUUCGUAUAUAUAGCAGUUUGUAAUGAAAUGGUUGAAGACUAGCAGGAUGACGGCACAAGGGAACAGUUGGGUUCCGAAUGAUCAAGGAUAUGAUAAAGUGGUGAUUUCUCCAAAGAAGUUAGAUUCGGUGACUGUAAUUUCUCGAAGGGAGAAUUGAUGAAGACCCUGAUAAUGGAAGAGAAAUACACAAGGAGAUAAAUAUUGGCACCCUAUUUUGACUUGGAUAGGUGUUAUGACAGGAUGAGCUGCUGUCAAACAUAAGCAAGGAAUAGGGAGAAAUCUGGAGAACAGAAAUUGCACGAGGGCACACGGAGAUUGUGCAGGAGUACCCGUAGGAUCCAACGAGGUGCUGUAAUGAGACAACAGGUGCAAGGAGAAGAAGUGUUCCCAGAUGAAGCUCAGAGCAGAGACUGUUAAAGGUUGUACAACAGGAAGUCUCUUGUGCUCUUAAUGAAGACAACAGGCGAAGACCUUUCCAAUGCAUGCAAGGAUGGAAAGAGAGCUGUUGUAGAAGCACCUAAUUGAGGGUGUGCAAACGCCUGUGUUAAAAGGCGACCGCCUAUGAUGAAAGGCGAAGACACUAAAGAGAGUUGGUGUAGGUGGAGCUAUCAAGCAGAAAGGCAUAGAAGCUCUAAACAUAGAAAAUGAGAUGGAGGAUUGCGAAGAGUGCACCGCAACUCUCUCUUUCUAUGUGAUCAGUGGCAGUGAUCUCUCCCAAGUCCACAUGGUGGUAGAGAAUCUUGGAGCCACUGUAGACAUCCCCGAUGAAGGAGGAUGUGACCGCUUCACGACAGACGGAGACACCUCGGGAGAAGGUGUGAGGACUAUGAUAUGAGUCCAAGUUCAGACCGUCUCAUGACGACAGGCGGAGACACCUCGGAUGGAAGGUGUGCGGACCAUGAUAUGAGUCCAAGUUCAGACCGUCUCAUGACGACAGGCGGAGACACCUCGGAUGGAAGGUGUGAGGACCAUGAUAUGAGUCCAAGUUCAGACCGUCUCAUGACAACAGGCAGAGACACCUCAGAAGAAGGUGUGCGGACCAUGAUAUGAGUCCAAGUUCAGACCGUCUCAUGACGACAGGCGGAGACACCUCGGAUGGAAGGUGUGAGGACCAUGAUAUGAGUCCAAGUUCAGAACGUCUCAUGACGACAAGCAGAGACACCUCAGGAGAAGGUGUGAGGGCCAUGAUAGGAGCCCAAUUUCAGAACGCCCUAAAGACCGAUGUGAUGGUUGGAUAUAAGUGGACAAGUGUAUAGCCAAUUGGCUAUGAUGAGUAUGGAGACAAAUGCAGGAUUGACUUUCAUGGAUAUUUCCCCCAUGCUAAAGAUCAAUGAGCUAGAAGACAUUUGCCUUGGACAAUAAGUGGAUGACUUGUGGAGCAUUAAGACGCGACUGCUAUGAAGGAGCAGAGGGCAUGCGCAGGUUCCGGGAACAAGUUGACUCUUGUCAAGGUGGUGAGCUCAGUAAUGACAUUGUAAUACUCAGAGUAUGAAGAUAGAGAUGGAUCAACCUUUAAUGGGCUGUCCCCAUGGUUAAAAGGGAGAGCUACCUGGACUCUUGAGACUAAGAGUGGGAGACUCACGGAGAAGUAAGGCGUGGUUCCUAGGGAGGAACAGAGGGCAGACGCAACUCCAGGAUGAGUAGACUCUUGGAAGAGUGGUGAGCUCGUGAUCAUAUUGAAAUACUCAAUGACUGUCGCACUUGGAAAUAUCCGUUUGAGGGGGUGUUGUAAGCCUUGGUGUAAGGCUUGAUAAAUCAUUCCGGGCCAAGAAUGGUUGAUAUGCUUGAAGGGAAUGUUGUUCCAGAGACAAGUGUUAACACUCUUCAGAUGAGAUGUGACAAACCAUCUAGUUGAAGUGAUCCUUUGGAGUGAGCAAAGGGGUGCUUGGAUGACUCUGGUGAUUAAAAGGUUUGGCAAGUACCUGGAAACUUGGCCAAAGACGCUCUCAGAAUGGUAAGCUUGGAAGAGCUGCAGAAUGCAAGCAUGUGCUGAAGAAGCAAGAAGACAAUUGCCCACAUGAAUGGCAAAGGGGGUGAUUGUUGGGUUGUUGCCAUUGCAUGUGCAGCAAAUGGUUGGCACCAACCAUUGACUAUUGGCAGCCACCAUUGUUGAAUGAGCUGGAGACGGUGGCCACCAUUAUUGACCAAAGAACAAGUGGAGCUGCCAUGGAUGCCUAUAAAUAGAGGCAUAUGUUAGAGAGCAAAGAUGUGAGAGUUAAGAGAAGGAGAGUGUAGAGCCAAAGAUGUGAGAGAUGUAGGAGAGAGUGGGCUGCCAAGGCAGCCAGCAGUAGCUGCCAUUGCAGCACUGAGAAGAGAGAAAUAGAGUGAGGUUGAGAGUUGCUAAAGAGGGGAUAAUUCCUCCUCCUCUAUUGUUGUAAAUCUUGUUCUCUCCCUAUAUAAUUCAAUGGCUUCUCCCGUGGAUGUAGGCGGUUUGCCGAACCACGUUAAAUAUUGUGUCAGUGUGCUUAGCCUCCAAUGGGCAAAUAUCAGAACAUCACCGGUCGGAAUUCCCUACACUCCGAUCUGCGUCGCGGUUUUUUUGGUGUUGCUCUCCAACGACGAUUAUCCGCAUCACAGGAGGGUGGCCCCAAUCUCCUGCUUUCCUUCUGAAACGAAUUCUCUCUGUGAUAAACUUAGGAAAAGCUUAUGGUAUGGUAUUUGUAUGAGAUGUAUAACCCCCGAACUUUGCCAUUUUGUGAGUGGAUUGUUCUUUAAUCCCCGUACAUUAAUUAAGUCAUGGUAGACAGAAUAUAUUUUGAUUAUAAAAUAUUUGAUCACCACAGGAUUGAUUUGGUGGGUCAUGGGUAAAGAAUUACUACUUCAAUCGUGAGGUUGAAUGUCUUAGUUGAUUAAUUAGUAAAGGGAAACUAAAUUAAAUAUAAAAUCUCCCUUUAAGAGAGAUUGAGUUAAAUCGUGUAAGCAUUUGGAAUCUACAUCUCAUCGAGAGCCAAAAUGACUUGUACCGUUCCUAAAAAAGACAGAAGGAAAAGACUAGAAAUCUCUCGUUCUUUGAAAUCGCGGAUAUUUUGUGCGUUUGGCAAAUUCUUCGAGGACCACAAAUGUUAUCUUCAGACAUUGUUAAUUUGCCAAGUGGAGUUCCAAACGAGCUCACGCAACUUGAAGCUAGCUCUUUCCUUUCAUUUUAAGGCUAGUCACCCUAGUUUCUUACCUUUUAGAUCUCGAAUCUCGAUUAGUCUAAGCCUAUUCAAGUUUACGUGGACAAAACUCAACUCAACUCUCCUCUUAUUUUCUUCACGCGUAAAGAAUUUGCUCGAACCCCUCCAAUUCAAACCCCUCGGCCUCCUCUCUCUUUACCGAAUCCUCAACUAAGAAACAAUUGCUUCGUCUUAAGCAAAUGAUCUCAGCCCAGGAACAUACACGCAUGGCACAUGGACAUUCAUAGCAUGUUAGACCGACCGACAAUGACAGAUCAUGGGAAAGAGUCACCUGAUGAUUUCAUAAACUUUGGAGAACAAAUGCUACGGGGGUCUCCUUGCUCAGUUGUUGGUGCAUACACUUAACGCGUGGCCACAGAUAUUAGCAAUUUUCUUCUAUUUCAAACAAAGUACUCGGAGAUUAGUAGAUAGGAUACGGGUGAGUGGGGUCUUAUUUGGAAGGGGGAUUUUCGGAUUGAACUAUUUGUUUAGCAGAACAGAUUUUUAAUCAUCUACUAGUAUUUUGGCUUUUGUUUGGGAAAGCUUGAUCUCCUCUAGUAGAUACACCUGAAAACUUAUCUUGAGAUUCAUCUUCAUGUAUUUGUUAGUAAUAAUUACCCGUUCUUGACUUGAAUUGUAUAUGCGUUGAAAUUUUUUCUCUCUCUCUUUUUAUCGAGUGUUCAGUUUGGUGGGAUUUUUUAGGCAUUGACUUGCAAGGAAAAUAAAUGGAUUUGCUUGACAUUAUAGUUCAUAUCUUUUACUUUAUAUAAUUUAGUCUUUACAUGUAAGAAAUGGACGUCUCAGGAUAAUAUAAUGUUUUUUUUUUUUUUAAAAAAUCAUCCAGUGGAACAGAC
RNAcentral lists this long non-coding RNA (4422 nucleotides) under Populus trichocarpa (black cottonwood). Its description in RNAcentral is "long non-coding RNA (PTRI_LNC000278)". The record is from RNAcentral. Lineage: Eukaryota; Viridiplantae; Streptophyta; Magnoliopsida; Malpighiales; Salicaceae.